Molecule: ribosomal RNA, 270 nt
Filed under: uncultured bacterium
Lineage: Bacteria
Description: partial 16S ribosomal RNA
Rfam family: Bacterial small subunit ribosomal RNA
Source: RNAcentral
AGCGAACGCUGGCGGCGUGCUUAACACAUGCAAGUCGAACGCGCAGCAUUCUGUAGCAAUACAGGGUGUGGGCGCGUGGCGAACGGGUGCGUAACACGUGGAUAACCUUCCUUGAGGUGGGGAAUAACCCAGUGAAAAUUGGGCUAAUACCGCAUAACAUCGCGAUGGCACAUGCUGAUGCGAUCAAAGGCGCAAGUCGCCACAAGAGGGAUCCGCGGCCGAUUAGCUAGUUGGCGAGGUAAUGGCUCACCAAGGCAAUGAUCGGUAGCC